GGGGCCAUAGCUCAGCUGGUAGAGCGCCAGCUUUGCAAGCUGGAUGUCGUCGGUUCGACCCCGACUGGCUCCACAA
Molecule: transfer RNA, 76 nt
Filed under: Deltaproteobacteria bacterium CG_4_9_14_0_2_um_filter_42_21
Lineage: Bacteria; Deltaproteobacteria
Also listed under: 1 other name
Description: tRNA-Ala
Rfam family: tRNA
About the family: Transfer RNA (tRNA) molecules are approximately 80 nucleotides in length. Their secondary structure includes four short double-helical elements and three loops (D, anti-codon, and T loops). Further hydrogen bonds mediate the characteristic L-shaped molecular structure. tRNAs have two regions of fundamental functional importance: the anti-codon, which is responsible for specific mRNA codon recognition, and the 3' end, to which the tRNAs corresponding amino acid is attached (by aminoacyl-tRNA synthetases). tRNAs cope with the degeneracy of the genetic code in two manners: having more than one tRNA (with a specific anti-codon) for a particular amino acid; and 'wobble' base-pairing, i.e. permitting non-standard base-pairing at the 3rd anti-codon position.
Source: RNAcentral